UAGUCCAUGCUGUAAACGAUGAGUGCUAGAUGUUAGAAGUUUACUUCUAGUAUCGAAGCUAACGCGUUAAGCACUCCGCCUGGGGAGUACGGCCGCAAGGCUAAAACUCAAAUGAAUUGACGGGGACCCGCACAAGCAGUGGAGCAUGUGGUUUAAUUCGACGCUACGCGAAGAACCUUACCAGCUCUUGACAUGCUAGGUUUUGGAUUUAAGAGAUUAAAUCCUUCAGUUCGGCUGGGCUUAGUACAGGUGCUGCAUGGCUGUCGUCAGCUCGUGUCGUGAGAUGUUCGGUUAAGUCCGGCAACGAGCGCAACCCUCAUCUUCAGUUACUAACAGGUUAAGCUGAGGACUCUGGAGAAACUGCCGUUGGAAAAGCGGAGGAAGGCGAGGAUGACGUCAAGUCCUCAUGGCCCUUAUGGGCUGGGGCUACACACGUGCUACAAUGGUAAUUACAAUAGGUCGCGAAAUGGCAACAUUGAGCUAAUCCUCAAAAAUUAUA
This 499-nucleotide ribosomal RNA is filed under the name uncultured bacterium. Its description in RNAcentral is "bacterial SSU rRNA". It matches the Rfam family "Bacterial small subunit ribosomal RNA", at positions 791 to 1287 of the family's 1533-position model. The record is from RNAcentral.